AGCAGUCGCCGCGGGAACACAGAGGGUGCGAGCGUUAAUCGGAUUUACUGGGCGUAAAGCGUGCGUAGGCGGCUUUUUAAGUCGGAUGUGAAAUCCCUGAGCUUAACUUAGGAAUUGCAUUCGAUACUGGGAAGCUAGAGUAUGGGAGAGGAUGGUAGAAUUCCAGGUGUAGCGGUGAAAUGCGUAGAGAUCUGGAGGAAUAACGAUGGCGAAGGCAGCCAUCUGGCCUAAUACUGACGCUGAGGUACGAAAGCAUGGGGAGCAAACAGGAUUAGAUACCCCGGUAGUCCCUGUCUCUUAUAC
RNAcentral lists this ribosomal RNA (303 nucleotides) under uncultured bacterium. Its description in RNAcentral is "partial 16S ribosomal RNA". It matches the Rfam family "Bacterial small subunit ribosomal RNA", at positions 507 to 807 of the family's 1533-position model. The record is from RNAcentral.